UACGUAGGUGGCAAACGUUAUCCGGAAUUACUGGGCGUAAAGGGUCCGUAGGCGGACCACCAAGUCUGGUGUGACACUGCUCGGCUUAACUGAGCAACGCCACUGGAAACUGGUGGACUAGAAUCUGGUCGAGGUCGGCGGAAUUCCCGGUGUAGUGGUGGAAUGCGUAGAGAUCGGGAGGAACCUCGAAAGCGAAGGCAGCCGGCUAGGUCAAGAUUGACGCUGAGGGACGAGAGCGUGGGGAGCAAACAGG
Molecule: ribosomal RNA, 253 nt
Filed under: uncultured prokaryote
Description: partial 16S ribosomal RNA
Rfam family: Bacterial small subunit ribosomal RNA
Source: RNAcentral